AACGUAGGACACGAGCGUUAUCCGGAGUUACUGGGCGUAAAGGGCGGGUAGGUGGUGCGAUAAGACUGGUGUGAAAGCCUUCGGCUUAACCGAGGGAGGACACUGGUGACUGUCGGACUUGAGGCAGAUAGAGGGGUGUAGAAUUCCGGGUGUAGUGGUGAAAUGCGUAGAGAUCCGGAGGAAUACCAGAGGCGAAGGCGGCACCCUGGGUCUGACCUGACACUGAGCCGCGACAGCAUGGGGAGCGAACGGG
RNAcentral lists this ribosomal RNA (253 nucleotides) under uncultured bacterium. RNAcentral describes it as "partial 16S ribosomal RNA". It matches the Rfam family "Bacterial small subunit ribosomal RNA", at positions 524 to 776 of the family's 1533-position model. The record is from RNAcentral.